UUACCUGCGGAGGGAUCAUUACCGAGUUUACAACUCCCAAACCCCUGUGAACAUACCAAUUGUUGCCUCGGCGGAUCAGCCCGCUCCCGGUAAAACGGGACGGCCCGCCAGAGGACCCCUAAACUCUGUUUCUAUAUGUAACUUCUGAGUAAAACCAUAAAUAAAUCAAAACUUUCAACAACGGAUCUCUUGGUUCUGGCAUCGAUGAAGAACGCAGCAAAAUGCGAUAAGUAAUGUGAAUUGCAGAAUUCAGUGAAUCAUCGAAUCUUUGAACGCACAUUGCGCCCGCCAGUAUUCUGGCGGGCAUGCCUGUUCGAGCGUCAUUUCAACCCUCAAGCCCCCGGGUUUGGUGUUGGGGAUCGGCGAGCCCUUGCGGCAAGCCGGCCCCGAAAUCUAGUGGCGGUCUCGCUGCAGCUUCCAUUGCGUAGUAGUAAAACCCUCGCAACUGGUACGCGGCGCGGCCAAGCCGUUAAACCCCCAACUUCUGAAUGUUGACCUCGGAUCAGGUAGGAAUACCCGCUGAACUUAAGCAUAUCAAUAAGCGGAGGAAUU
This 552-nucleotide ribosomal RNA is filed under the name Fusarium sp. R2. Its description in RNAcentral is "eukaryotic LSU rRNA". The stretch from base 170 to 323 matches the Rfam family "5.8S ribosomal RNA". Lineage: Eukaryota; Fungi; Ascomycota; Sordariomycetes; Hypocreales; Nectriaceae. The record is from RNAcentral.